This 164-nucleotide ribosomal RNA is filed under the name Oryza latifolia. RNAcentral describes it as "5.8S ribosomal RNA". It matches the Rfam family "5.8S ribosomal RNA". From Rfam's summary of the family: 5.8S ribosomal RNA (5.8S rRNA) is a component of the large subunit of the eukaryotic ribosome. The record is from RNAcentral. Lineage: Eukaryota; Viridiplantae; Streptophyta; Magnoliopsida; Poales; Poaceae.
CACACGACUCUCGGCAACGGAUAUCUUGGCUCUCGCAUCGAUGAAGAACGUAGCGAAAUGCGAUACCUGGUGUGAAUCGCAGAAUCCCGUGAACCAUCGAGUCUUUGAACGCAAGUUGCGCCCGAGGCCAUUCGGCCGAGGGCACGCCUGCCUGGGCGUCACGC